RNAcentral lists this ribosomal RNA (429 nucleotides) under uncultured bacterium. RNAcentral describes it as "bacterial SSU rRNA". It matches the Rfam family "Bacterial small subunit ribosomal RNA", at positions 354 to 796 of the family's 1533-position model. The record is from RNAcentral.
GUCGAGAAUAUUUGUCAAUGGGCGAAAGCCUGAACAAGCGAUGCCGCGUGUGGGAUGAAGGCCCUUGGGUCGUAAACCACUUUUGUUAUAGAAAAACUUACGUGAUGGUAUAUAGCGAAUAAGAGGUUACUAACUCUGUGCCAGCAGUAGCGGUAAUACAGAGACCUCAAGCGUUAUCCGGAUUUAUUGGGCGUAAAGAGCAGGUAGGUGGGAAUAUUAGUCAGAUGUCAAAUCCUCGGGCUCAACCCGAGAACUGCAUUUGAAACGAUAUUUCUAGAGGGAGUGAGAGAUUACUGGAACUUAUGGUGUAGCAGUGAAAUGCGUUGAUAUCAUGAGGAACACCAAAGGCGAAGGCAGGUAAUUGGCACUCUCCUGACACUGAUCUGCGAAAGCGUGGGUAGCGAAUGGGAUUAGAUACCCCGGUAGUCC